UGGUCAAAUAUCACCAUCUGC
RNAcentral lists this microRNA (21 nucleotides) under Haemonchus contortus (barber pole worm). RNAcentral describes it as "hco-miR-5976". Lineage: Eukaryota; Metazoa; Nematoda; Chromadorea; Rhabditida; Trichostrongylidae. The record is from miRBase by way of RNAcentral.